GGGCAAGUCUUACGCAACCAGCUCCUACUGAACCUCCCCAGGGUCGGAAGACAGCAAGGAUAAAGUGGUCGUAGCGGUGUGAUGUAAGUAGCUUGCCUUUU
RNAcentral lists this signal recognition particle RNA (101 nucleotides) under Flavobacteriales bacterium. RNAcentral describes it as "signal recognition particle sRNA small type". It matches the Rfam family "Bacteroidales small SRP". From Rfam's summary of the family: The non-coding component of the signal recognition particle in Bacteroides Lineage: Bacteria; Pseudomonadati; Bacteroidota; Flavobacteriia; Flavobacteriales. The record is from RNAcentral.